GGGAAUAUUGCACAAUGGGCGCAAGCCUGAUGCAGCCAUGCCGCGUGUGUGAAGAAGGCCUUCGGGUUGUAAAGCACUUUCAGCGAGGAGGAAGGCGUUAAGGUUAAUAACCUUAGCGAUUGACGUUACUCGCAGAAGAAGCACCGGCUAACUCCGUGCCAGCAGCCGCGGUAAUACGGAGGGUGCAAGCGUUAAUCGGAAUUACUGGGCGUAAAGCGCACGCAGGCGGUUUGUUAAGUCAGAUGUGAAAUCCCCGAGCUUAACUUGGGAACUGCAUUUGAAACUGGCAAGCUAGAGUCUUGUAGAGGGGGGUAGAAUUCCAGGUGUAGCGGUGAAAUGCGUAGAGAUCUGGAGGAAUACCGGUGGCGAAGGCGGCCCCCCUGGACAAAGACUGACGCUCAGGUGC
RNAcentral lists this ribosomal RNA (406 nucleotides) under uncultured bacterium. Its description in RNAcentral is "partial 16S ribosomal RNA". It matches the Rfam family "Bacterial small subunit ribosomal RNA", at positions 357 to 754 of the family's 1533-position model. The record is from RNAcentral.